RNAcentral lists this transfer RNA (58 nucleotides) under Culicoides humeralis. Its description in RNAcentral is "tRNA-Cys". The record is from RNAcentral. Lineage: Eukaryota; Metazoa; Arthropoda; Insecta; Diptera; Ceratopogonidae.
GGCUUUAUAUUCAAAAAUGAUAUUAAAUUGCAAAUUUAAAGGUGUAAAAAACUAAAGC